CCGGAUCUCAGAUCAAGCAAGAGG
This 24-nucleotide ribosomal RNA is filed under the name Pseudo-nitzschia pungens var. aveirensis. RNAcentral's name for it is "partial 28S ribosomal RNA". The record is from RNAcentral. Lineage: Eukaryota; Bacillariophyta; Bacillariophyceae; Bacillariales; Bacillariaceae.